AAGUAAGAUAGCUUAGCAAAAGUCUUAUCUGGAACGAUACCUCUCUUCCCAGGUGAUCUCCGAGACGAUCCCAGCGCUGCUUGGCUUGAAACGACAAGGCAAAGUCCGCUUCAUUGGAAUGAGCGGACUUCCACUGGCCAUCUUUCGCUACGUCUUGGACAGAGUCGAGCCUGGAACAAUCGACGUUAUUCUAUCAUACUGCCACUACUCCCUCAACGAUUCCUCGCUCGAGGGUCUAAUUCCGUACCUCAAGGACAAAGGAGUCGGGAUCAUCACUGCUUCGCCACUCGCCAUGGGAUUACUCACGGAGUCUGGUCCUCCGCAGUGGCAUCCAGCGCCGGAAGAAAUCAAGGUACUGCUAAGUUAUAGAACUUCGGUGUGGAAACCUUUCUUCUUCUUUUUCGUAGGAAGCUUGCGCCAAGGCUGCUACUCACUGCAAACUCAAGGGUCAGAACAUCUCGGAGAUGGCAUUGAAGUUCUCCCUCUCAAAUCCAGAUAUCGCAAUCACUCUAGUUGGAAUGUGUACUACCCAGCAAGUCCACGAGAACAUCAAGGCAAUGGACAAUCUCGAAAGGAGCUCUG
RNAcentral lists this long non-coding RNA (582 nucleotides) under Selaginella moellendorffii. RNAcentral describes it as "long non-coding RNA (SMOE_LNC001278)". Lineage: Eukaryota; Viridiplantae; Streptophyta; Lycopodiopsida; Selaginellales; Selaginellaceae. The record is from RNAcentral.